GGUGCAAGUAGUGUAGUGGGCUUGAACAUUGGACUAUGACUCUGGAGGCCAGGGUUCAAAUCCCAGCUUGACCA
Molecule: non-coding RNA, 74 nt
Organism: Phrynosoma platyrhinos (Desert horned lizard)
Lineage: Eukaryota; Metazoa; Chordata; Lepidosauria; Squamata; Phrynosomatidae
Source: the annotation of a GenBank genome assembly